RNAcentral lists this ribosomal RNA (395 nucleotides) under uncultured bacterium. RNAcentral describes it as "partial 16S ribosomal RNA". It matches the Rfam family "Bacterial small subunit ribosomal RNA", at positions 523 to 918 of the family's 1533-position model. The record is from RNAcentral.
AUACGUAGGGUGCAAGCGUUAAUCGGAAUUACUGGGCGUAAAGCGUGCGCAGGCGGUUUUGUAAGACAGUGGUGAAAUCCCCGGGCUCAACCUGGGAACUGCCAUUGUGACUGCAAGGCUGGAGUGCGGCAGAGGGGGAUGGAGUUCCGCGUGUAGCAGUGAAAUGCGUAGAUAUGCGGAGGAACACCGAUGGCGAAGGCAAUCCCCUGGGCCUGCACUGACGCUCAUGCACGAAAGCGUGGGGAGCAAACAGGAUUAGAUACCCUGGUAGUCCACGCCCUAAACGAUGUCAACUGGUUGUUGGGGAUUUAUUUUCUCAGUAACGAAGCUAACGCGUGAAGUUGACCGCCUGGGGAGUACGGCCGCAAGGUUAAAACUCAAAUGAAUUGACGGGG